RNA transcript from Toxorhynchites rutilus septentrionalis, 1746 nucleotides. It is a transcript of the gene named cysteine-rich with EGF-like domain protein 2, with no coding region annotated. NCBI's taxonomy places the organism in Eukaryota, Metazoa, Arthropoda, Insecta, Diptera, Culicidae. The transcript is spliced from 6 exons. The record is from RefSeq and is a predicted model, not a curated record.
CCCCGAUGAUACGAAACAACACAGUAGAAUUAUUCUGGUCUCAGUUGCCGAUAUCAGUUCACAGGCGGUCUUUUCGUAAAAGAAAAGAAAAUAUACUACAGUAAUAUUUGUUUGUUUUAUGUGCUGAAAGUAGUUCUCUGUGAUUUUCGUUCGCCGCACGAGCAGCUAGGAUUACCUGGAGGAAUGUGGAUGAAACGUUUGCUGGUUUCGGUUUUCCUGCUCAUACCACUAAUCGUUCCCCAGAUAGACGCGGACGUUCCUCAUCUCCCCAGUGCACCAGCUUCCAAAAAAGAACGGCUGAAAUCGGAAAAACUCCCUGCUUGUAAAGCAUGUACGGUCCUGGUGAAUUCGUUCAACGAGGGAUUGAAACGAACCGAACGGUCGAAGCACGAGGGCGGUGACGCUGCCUGGGAAGAGGAACGUCUUGGAAGUUAUAAGACGAGCGAGCUUCGUUUGGUGGAAAUCCAAGAACGCCUCUGUCAAGAUGUUGGUCGCGGCGAAGACCAAUGCCACCAACAGGCUGAAGAGCUUGAAUCGCUAAUCGAAGAAUGGUGGAAAGAGGGGCAAAACACACAUCCAGACCUACACCAGUGGCUGUGUGUGGAGCAAGUGAAGGUUUGCUGUCCGGACGGCCACUAUGGGCAGAACUGUGAUCCAUGCCCGAGCUGUUUCGGGAACGGGAAAUGUAAGGGCAAUGGGACGCGCAAAGGUAACGGACAGUGCGUUUGCGAUGAGGGAUACAGCGGGUCGAACUGCGAUAGCUGCGGGUCCGAGCACUACGAGUCGUUUCGUGACGCUGAGAAGUUGCUCUGCUCAAAGUGUCAUAAAGCUUGCGCCGCCGGAGGUUGCACCGGAGCGGGACCGAAUGCUUGUCGUGUAUGCCGGAGUGGCUGGGUCAUGGACAAUCAGCGAGGUGGAUGCACGGAUAUUGAUGAGUGCACCACGGCCAACACCUGUUCUAAGCAGCAGUUUUGCGUGAACAACGAAGGAUCUUUUAGUUGUUUGGAAUGUGACAAAUCUUGCGAUGGAUGCGAUGGUGACGGACCCGAUAUGUGCAGAAAGUGCGCAGACGGUUUCGAAUUACGAGAUGGAUUAUGUACAGAUACAUCGAGCGAGAAGCGCAACCAAUACGUUACCUUCACUCGCUAUCUCACCUAUCUUGGCCUCUGCAUAGCCACGUGUAUUGUGCUCCAGAGUUCCACCUGGUUGGCGGCACUCGUGGGGCUGGCCGUUGCCGUUUACAUUUCCGUAUCCGAAUAUUGGCUUAACACCAAUCCGCAACAGAGCGCGACACCGUCGCCAAAAAUUCUCGACGAAAUUCUACAGCAGCAAUAGACUACACUCGAGUGGUUCGUCUUAUCUAAGUCAGGAAUAGAAUUAGUGAAUCAAAACCAAAAUAAAAAUACACAUGAGCAACCGAUUCGUGUUGUGCAUACAGUUUGUUGCUUUUGAGUUUAAGCUUUAGUUUUCCUUAGCGAAGAAUCGAUAAACCCGUUUUAGUUACACUUCAUAAGUGCAACGCGAGUGACUAGAAUAAAUAGUUUUUCAGAUAAAUCCCGGCAUAAUGGGAGACAUGAGUGAGCCGUAAAGUUUCGGCCAUAUUCAGCGACGUCCGUCAAGCAGGCCAGACAGACCCUAUGAUCACGGAGGCGGCUGAUCAUGAGCACAUUAAAGAUGAACUAUGAAAUCGAUGCUGGUAUAGAACAAAAUGAAAUAAAAUAUUAAGCUUGGGUUUGGCAAAAAGUA